Canis lupus familiaris (dog) is the source of this 3368-nucleotide long non-coding RNA. RefSeq lists it as uncharacterized. The transcript has 2 exons. NCBI's taxonomy places the organism in Eukaryota, Metazoa, Chordata, Mammalia, Carnivora, Canidae. The record is from RefSeq and is a predicted model, not a curated record.
GCAAGCUGCUCCCUGGGCCAGCUUGGGCCCUGUUGGGUUACCUGCUGCCAUAUAACAAAUCCCAAAGCUGAGCGGCUUAGGACAACCACCUUUUCUUUUUUUUUAAUUUUUCUUAUCUAUGAGUUGAGUGGCGUCUCCCAGUUGAACGUUCUGCUCCAUGUGAUGUCAUCUGGGGCUCCUCAGGGCUGGAAGCGCUUCCACAGGGCUCAUGCCUGUGCUGCCUGCUUCCGGGGGACACCUGGAAAGCUGGGCUCACCUGGCUCACUGGGUGAUCGGGCCUCUGUCACCAUCUCUGUGGAGUCUUGGGGUUUCUUCCCUAGGGUUGCCGGACUACUUCCCACCGCAGGGCUCCCGAAAGAAUAAGAUGGAAGAUGUCAGGGUUCCUUAAGGCAUUGGCCUGGAACAGGCACAGAAUAACUUCUUCCCAUCCUGAACUGAGUCACGGCUCCACCGGGAUUUGGUGAGGGAAGGGCCUACCCAGGAGGGUGGACGCUGGGAGGCCUGGGCCUUCGAGGCCAUCUCGGGAGCCUGGCUCCCAUGCAUGCUGGGAUCCCAGGGUUGGUGCUUGGCUCAGGAGAUGGAUGGAACCAGCUCUCUCUUGUACUGGAUUCUCUGGAGGCCAAGUGGACCAGAAACUUCUUGGGGGGGGAGGGCGAGGCUGUAAUUCUCUCUUUCUCUCUACAUAUAUAUACAUAAAACUUCCACAGUUCGUCUGCUCUCUAAAACAAUUGUCUAGGGAUCCCUGGGUGGCGCAGCGGUUUGGUGCCUGCCUUUGGCCCAGGGCGCGAUCCUAGAGACCUGGGAUCGAAUCCCGUGUCGGGCUUCCAGUGCAUGGAGCCUGCUUCUCCCUCUGCCUGUGUCUCUGCCUCUCUCUCUCUGUGUGUGUGACUAUCAUAAAAAAAAAAAAAAAAUUAAAAAAAUAAAAUAAAACAAUUGUCUAAAGCCUAUAUAACAAGGCAUCUGAAAAAAAAUUAUUAAUGGCAUGAUUAUGUAUUCAUUUCAAAUAUUAAACAAACCAUUGGUACCACAGAUUGAGCACUUACAUACAUCAAGCAUUGCCCUAGCAGAUCUUACUUAAUUUCCCCAACAACCACAUGGAAAUGAUACUCUUGGGGUCCUUGUUUUCCAGAAGUAUUAGUUAAGUGGGCUAAACUGUAACAGACUUUCCAAUGUUAUUACUUCAAACACAGUAGAGGUGGGUUUCUCACUCCCUUAACCAAGAGGAGAGGCCUGGCUGGCAGGCAGCCCUUGUCAUUUACAGACCCAGGCUCCACCCAUCUUGUGGCUCCACUGUCCUUUCUGGGGCGAGAAGGAACGAACCACUGGCUUCUCUGUGGCGAAUGGACCACAGUACGUGCAUAUGUGGAGCAGGGAUGGGAUUUGAUGGACAUUCCCCAACUGCCUUACUCCACUCUCCCUGUCUCGACAGACUCCCAACCAUCUGGCUUCCAGUUAGGUUUGGCCAGUGGGAGACAGCGGCAGGCGAUCAGAGUUUCCUCCGCUCUCUCUGCUGGGCUAUAGUGUGGCAGGAGCUGACUUUUUCUACCAAAGGCCAUGACUUACAUCAUGUGGCUUUUUCCAGACUCCGUAACUCUCAUCCAUUUCUAGGGGUGGUUGGUGACAGGAUUCUUCGCUAUCUCUUGUUGGUAGCCACCCACCCCUAACUAAUAAAAAGCCCCUUUGAUAAUCUCUGCAAUCACAUCCUGUAAAUGUGCCAUCUCUCUCCUGCUGUGCCCUUGGCUGAUACACGGACAGGAUGGAAGCAAGGAAGACAUUCAAGAGGUUAUCGCAAUAAUCCAGGACAUGCUUCAGAAAUCCUAUCAAGAAAACCUGACGGCCCUUUAAGCCCAACAAUUUGAUGACAGACUGGGCUAAGGAGACGACGGGAGCGUAGGCCGGUCUCCUGGUGACGUUUGCGAAGGACCGACGCUGUGCUCCAGAUGGAAGGGCCACUGCACCUCUGGUAGACCGUUUACAACCAACGAUCGGCCAUUCGUGCUUUCGACCUGAGGACAUACGUUCGGCAUUUGAAUCACGGAGUCACUAAGCUAAGUCACAGCCCCCCUCCGCGGUCACUGGCGUGGCCUCUCUUGAUGGGAUAACUAGCUUAAUGGGACCACGCUGAGGGUCAAAUGUGAGCUGCCAGACGGUAGGAGGCCGCCUUCCCAGACCUCAGCUUUUAUCAUGGAGCAUCUGCUGACGCCUGGGCCGCGGCACGUGGGGACAGGCCGGCCUGGGGGUGCCUUUGGGCGAGACCCGGCGCCGAGGCCUUGCUCUUCCCCUGCGCUGCUCCACGUCACCUCGCCUGCCUCGCCGCCGGGACGUCAAGCAGCCUGGGCAGCCGCCAGAGGCCUUGGGUUCAUGUGCAGAGUCGCCCAAUCUGAUGUGGGUCGUUAGCAAACACGCACACGAGGCUCCCGGAGCCCAAGUAAGAGCAAAGCUGACGGCCUCUGGCCUCUUCUGCUAGUCCCGAGGGCUCUUCGGGGAGACGCUUCCCAAAUGUUGCGGCCAGUUAGGCCUGAGCUACGUGGCCCUGAGUGUCGCCUUGGCACCUCCCCCCGCGCCCUGCUUGCGCAGCAACACGCGGCCCGUGGCCCUCACCGUGGCCCUCGCCGUCUGCGGCCUCAACUGCCGCUCACCCUGCUCUCGCGCAGACGUGUCCCCACGGAGCAAAGAACUCAAAGAUUCAUGACCGCCCCUCCCCCGACGAGGCUGGAUGUCUGACAGCAACCUGCCCUUCACCCGGAAUCCCCUGGAAAACCAGCGACUUCACUCAGGAGGCGGGGACCUUCCGGGCAGCCUUUCUGGCCCCACGGGGGGAGCCGGGAGGCUUGGGGUUGCCCGCCUCUGCCCGAACUCCGGUGCCACCACUGUCCCGCGCAGGGAAGGGCGCCGCAGCCCAGCGCACGCUCCACCGUGGGCCCGGGGCCCUGAGCUAUUACGGGAGAUGAGCCCACAUGCGGAGUCAGGUGGGGUCACCGCGUGGGACCCGGCUAGCUUCUCUCGUGUAGACGGGCGGCAGGUGACGUGCUGGCCAAGAAGACGAAGGCUGCUUCUCGGCCCGGGGCCGGUGCACAUGCCGUGAGCACGGCUCCCGCGUCCUCCGUGAGGCCUUAGGAGCCCGACGCCUCCGAAAGCAUCUUUGGGUUUGCGUGGAACUGCUGCGGGGGCCCCGUCGUCGGCUUCGGGGGGCCACCUGGGGCUGCACCUGAUCGCAGCUGCGCGGGAGCGGAAAACACGCCAGAGGUUGGAGAUGCGCAAGGUGGGAAGGCGGGAUCUGCCGCGGCGGUUUAUACUGACCCCACACUGAGUGACUCAACUGUGCGCUGGGGUUAAAUCGGUCAUUAAAGCUAAUUUUCACUAUGUUU